AUUGAACGCUGGCGGCAUGCCUUACACAUGCAAGUCGAACGGUAACGGGCCUUCGGGUGCCGACGAGUGGCGAACGGGUGAGUAAUACAUCGGAACGUGCCCGAUCGUGGGGGAUAACGAGGCGAAAGCUUUGCUAAUACCGCAUACGAUCUACGGAUGAAAGCAGGGGACCGCAAGGCCUUGCGCGGACGGAGCGGCCGAUGGCAGAUUAGGUAGUUGGUGGGAUAAAAACUUUCCAAGCCGACGAUCUGUAGCUGGUCUGAGAGGAUGAUCAGCCACACUGGGACUGAGACACGGCCCAGACUCCUACGGGAGGCAGCAGUGGGGAAUUUUGGACAAUGGGCGCAAGCCUGAUCCAGCCAUGCCGCGUGCAGGAUGAAGGCCUUCGGGUUGUAAACUGCUUUUGUACGGAACGAAAAGCCUUCUUUUAAUACAGGAGGGUCAUGACGGUACCGUAAGAAUAAGCACCGGCUAACUACGUG
RNAcentral lists this ribosomal RNA (482 nucleotides) under uncultured bacterium. Its description in RNAcentral is "partial 16S ribosomal RNA". It matches the Rfam family "Bacterial small subunit ribosomal RNA", at positions 30 to 507 of the family's 1533-position model. The record is from RNAcentral.